This is an RNA transcript of Phacochoerus africanus (Common warthog), 563 nucleotides long. It is a transcript of the gene named coiled-coil-helix-coiled-coil-helix domain containing 7, with no coding region annotated. The record is from RefSeq and is a predicted model, not a curated record. The transcript is spliced from 4 exons. NCBI's taxonomy places the organism in Eukaryota, Metazoa, Chordata, Mammalia, Artiodactyla, Suidae.
ACUUAAGGUCCGGCUGCGUGAGCCAUUGACGUGUUUGGAGCUGGAGACGGCCUGGGCGCUGGCGAAGCCUCCGCGCGAGCGCGAGGAAGAAGGAUGCCGGUGGUGGCUCGGAGCAUGAGGGAUCCUGACGUGAAUCCGUGCUUGUCGGAAUCUGACGCUUCUGCCAGAUGUUUGGAUGAAAAUAACUAUGACAAGGAAAGGUGUUCCACUCACUUCUUGAAGUACAAGAACUGCCGGAAGUUCUGGGUGAGCCCACCUGGUUGCCUUUAUGUUAGAAGUCAUCUCUGAGGCUUGACCGUGAAGCCUGACAUCACCAGCCCCUCCCUCAGUAGGGCUCUCUGACUUGAUCCUCCAUGUGCCCUGAAGGAUACGGGCUGCUCCUCAGCUGCCUCGUCCUGCUCCAGGCGUAAGAAGCAGCUCUGACAGGAAUUCUGUCAUGCUCCAGAGAAGGCAGAACGGAGUGAAGCCACCUAUGCCCACGGCCGCAGAAAGAGACGAGAUCUUGGGAGCACUGGGAAAGAUGCCCUAUUGAGCGUUUGCAUUAAAAUGGUUUAUUUAACACA